GAGCCAAUCGCGAUUGAGUUUCGGCGUGACGUCGUUUUUGUUGACACAUUUUCGAUUAGCUGGCCACCUAGACGUCACUGCAGCAGCGCGCGCCCGUGACCCUCGACGUCCACCCCGCGUUUUCUGCCUGGAAACAUUGCGAGCUUAUCGGUGCGGUGAAAACUCAGGAUUCCGGGGGCAGGAGUCGGCGUGGGAAAUGGGGUCUGAUCAGAGUUUGGCUGCUGACCAGCAGCAGAGGGAUCCAGACAAUCUGCCAUUGCAAGGUGAAGCAGCUUCAUCCAGUGUCCAAACUGAUACCAGUCCUGAGCCCCGGGACAGUCUGGAUCCAGACACUGAUCUGCCACAAUGCCGAAUGGGCACCAGAAAGGUAGACGACAUGAGCUUCAUGAUAGCCUGCACCAACUGGUGUUAAAAACCAGAGAGGUUGCACUGUGAAAGAACUGAUUAGACAGGACAUUUCGUCCACAAGUGAGUGCCAAAUUUAGUGCGGGACAACAGAAGAUGGAGGCGCUGGAAUUGCAAUGCUGUUUAAAUGGGUUUGAUGCAAGUUAUGCCAUUAAUAAGUUGUGCAGUGUGUUUUAAGACAUCGAGAAUAAAGCUGUAAAUCUGUUCUGCUCAA
Cyprinus carpio (common carp) is the source of this 619-nucleotide long non-coding RNA. RefSeq lists it as uncharacterized. The record is from RefSeq and is a predicted model, not a curated record. NCBI's taxonomy places the organism in Eukaryota, Metazoa, Chordata, Actinopteri, Cypriniformes, Cyprinidae.